This 468-nucleotide ribosomal RNA is filed under the name uncultured bacterium. RNAcentral describes it as "partial 16S ribosomal RNA". It matches the Rfam family "Bacterial small subunit ribosomal RNA", at positions 28 to 507 of the family's 1533-position model. The record is from RNAcentral.
GACGAACGCUGGCGGCGUGCUUAACACAUGCAAGUCGAACGGAAAGGCCCUGCUUUUGUGGGGUUCUCGAGUGGCGAACGGGUGAGUAACACGUGAGUAACCUGCCCUUGACUUUGGGAUAACUUCAGGAAACUGGGGCUAAUACCGGAUAGGAGCUCCUGCUGCAUGGUGGGGGUUGGAAAGUUUCGGCUGUUGGGGAUGGACUCGCGGCUUAUCAGCUUGUUGGUGGGGGAGUGGCUUACCAAGGCUUUGACGGGUAGCCGGCCUGAGAGGGUGACCGGCCACAUUGGGACUGAGGUACGGAGCAGACUGCUACGGGAGGCAACAGUGGGGAAUAUUGCACAAUGGGCGGAAGUGUGAUGCAGAAACGCCGCGUGCGGGAUGACGGCCUUCGGGUUGUAAACCGCUGUCGCCUGUGACGAAGCGUGAGUGACGGUAAUGGGUAAAGAAGCACCGGCUAACUACGUG